This 140-nucleotide ribosomal RNA is filed under the name uncultured eukaryote. RNAcentral describes it as "partial 18S ribosomal RNA". It matches the Rfam family "Eukaryotic small subunit ribosomal RNA", at positions 1299 to 1458 of the family's 1831-position model. The record is from RNAcentral.
UGGUGGAGUGAUUUGUCUGGUUAAUUCCGAUAACGAACGAGACCCCGUCCUACUUACUAGACCGAGGAUCCUCUCGUUCUCGCUGUCUUCUUAGAGGGACAACUGCUUAUACCUGAACUACAUGAAAUGGGGCAAUAACA